UAGGUUUGGACUAAGUCAAACAUCUUCAAGUCUGACCAAGUUUAUAGAAAAAUGUUGCAGCAUUUCCAACACAAACAAACAUACUAAAGAAUAUAUAUUCAAUGGUGUAUUUAAUGAAACUAAUUUGGUGCUGUAGAUGUUGCUACAUUUUUCUAUAAACUUGAUCAGACUUGAAGAAGUUUGACUUAGGACAAACCCAA
Molecule: microRNA precursor, 200 nt
Filed under: Oryza glumipatula
Lineage: Eukaryota; Viridiplantae; Streptophyta; Magnoliopsida; Poales; Poaceae
Description: MIR1435 microRNA precursor family
Rfam family: MIR1435 microRNA precursor family
Source: Rfam by way of RNAcentral